This 450-nucleotide ribosomal RNA is filed under the name uncultured bacterium. Its description in RNAcentral is "partial 16S ribosomal RNA". It matches the Rfam family "Bacterial small subunit ribosomal RNA", at positions 354 to 796 of the family's 1533-position model. The record is from RNAcentral.
GUGGGGAAUUUUGGACAAUGGGCGAAAGCCUGAUCCAGCAAUGCCGCGUGCAGGAUGAAGGCCCUCGGGUUGUAAACUGCUUUUGUACGGAACGAAAAGCCUGGGGCUAAUAUCCCCGGGUCAUGACGGUACCGUAAGAAUAAGCACCGGCUAACUACGUGCCAGCAGCCGCGGUAAUACGUAGGGUGCAAGCGUUAAUCGGAAUUACUGGGCGUAAAGCGUGCGCAGGCGGUUUUGUAAGACAGUGGUGAAAUCCCCGGGCUCAACCUGGGAAUUGCGCUUGUGACUGCAAGGCUGGAGUGCGGCAGAGGGGGAUGGAAUUCCGCGUGUAGCAGUGAAAUGCGUAGAUAUGCGGAGGAACACCGAUGGCGAAGGCAAUCCCCUGGGCCUGCACUGACGCUCAUGCACGAAAGCGUGGGGAGCAAACAGGAUUAGAAACCCGAGUAGUCC